This is a non-coding RNA of Nannospalax galili (Upper Galilee mountains blind mole rat), 123 nucleotides long. Lineage: Eukaryota; Metazoa; Chordata; Mammalia; Rodentia; Spalacidae. The record is from Ensembl.
AGCCUAUCUCCCACUGGGCUGUCGAACCUCUUUCCUCCUCAGCCAGGACAGGGGCCAAGCUCUUGUGGAUCAUUGUCAGAACUGCCAUGAGUGAGCAGUCUUGUUUUCCUGCCUCGCACACAC